GAUGAACGCUGGCGGCGUGCUUAACACAUGCAAGUCGAGCGAAGCAGUUAAGUUGAUUUCUUCGGAUCGAUUCUUAACUGACUGAGCGGCGGACGGGUGAGUAACGCGUGGGUGACCUGCCCCAUACCGGGGGAUAACAGCUGGAAACGGCUGCUAAUACCGCAUAAGCGCACAGAGCUGCAUGGCUCAGCGUGAAAAACUCCGGUGGUAUGGGAUGGGCCCGCGUCUGAUUAGGCAGUUGGCGGGUAACGGCCCACCAAACCGACGAUCAGUAGCCGGCCUGAGAGGGCACCGGCCACAUUGGGACUGAGACACGGCCCAAAACUCCUACGGGAGGCAGCAGUGGGGAAUAUUGCACAAUGGGGGAAACCCUGAUGCAGCGACGCCGCGUGAGCGAAGAAGUAUUUCGGGUAAUGUAAAAGCUCUAAUCAGCAAGGGAAGAAU
This 444-nucleotide ribosomal RNA is filed under the name uncultured bacterium. Its description in RNAcentral is "bacterial SSU rRNA". It matches the Rfam family "Bacterial small subunit ribosomal RNA", at positions 28 to 450 of the family's 1533-position model. The record is from RNAcentral.